This 483-nucleotide ribosomal RNA is filed under the name uncultured bacterium. RNAcentral's name for it is "partial 16S ribosomal RNA". It matches the Rfam family "Bacterial small subunit ribosomal RNA", at positions 30 to 507 of the family's 1533-position model. The record is from RNAcentral.
AUUGAACGCUGGCGGCAGGCCUAACACAUGCAAGUCGAGCGGAUGAAGGGAGCUUGCUCCUGGAUUCAGCGGCGGACGGGUGAGUAAUGCCUAGGAAUCUGCCUGGUAGUGGGGGAUAACGUCCGGAAACGGGCGCUAAUACCGCAUACGUCCUGAGGGAGAAAGUGGGGGUCUUCGGACCUCACGCUAUCAGAUGAGCCUAGGUCGGAUUAGCUAGUUGGUGGGGUAAAGGCCUACCAAGGCGACGAUCCGUAACUGGUCUGAGAGGAUGAUCAGUCACACUGGAACUGAGACACGGUCCAGACUCCUACGGGAGGCAGCAGUGGGGAAUAUUGGACAAUGGGCGAAAGCCUGAUCCAGCCAUGCCGCGUGUGUGAAGAAGGUCUUCGGAUUGUAAAGCACUUUAAGUUGGGAGGAAGGGCAGUAAGUUAAUACCUUGCUGUUUUGACGUUACCAACAGAAUAAGCACCGGCUAACUUCGUG